AAAAAUCUUUCUCAAGCCUCUCCAGACUCGGGGUCGGGAAUGAGCGAGGGUCCGGCAGAUUUGGGGCUCCGAGACCACAGAUGGGGCCCGUGAGUGAGGAGGACAAGAGAGAAAGGAGAAGUUUGGGUGGAAAUCCCAGAGAUUGUUCAUCAUGUGAGAGGAGCCAUGCUGCAUUUCAUGCCAUACUCACACCAUGGAUGGAGAAAAAAAGCCAAGCUUCACUUUCUAAGAAUGGCCCUGGGGCCACUGCAUCUAGUGCCUGUGCAUCUGCAGACCUGCCGGAUGCCUCCAGGGGAAUCAUGCCACCCCAAGCAAGAAAGGGCCCAGUUGCCAGGAGCCUGGAGGCAGAGAGCUGAGGAGCCAGCCCCUGACAUCAGAAUGGAGCUCAAAGGUUGGCUGGGUGUGACUCUGCGGUGGACAGCUUCUCUUGGGAAAUCUACUUUAAUGAAUCCAGAGGAGCAAUUUGUAAUCAGCCCAUCAAAUGUUAAGGGACACUUAGCUGGAAUCUUGUUGCUGGACUCUGUGCCCUGCAGUGGAUGACAGUUCUCCAUCAGGGUCUGUAGUCCUCUACCCUGGAUUUGCUGCAUCUUGGAGCCCCCAGCAGUCAGGUACCGGCUCUCAGAACUGCCUGCAUCCCAUUGCCCUGAGCUGCUGUCUGCCAGGGCUGCUGGUAACCAGGCCCACAGGGCUGGAUAUUCCCCCAACAGGGCAGCUCCCAGUCCAAGCCCAACUGUUACCAGCCCAGAAAGAUGUUUCAGGAUACCCCUUUCCUCCCCACUUCCCUGCCCUCUGCAGCUCCAGCUGGUGCACCCCAUCUUUCUCUCCCCCUCCCUGCUAGGCUGGGCCCUAACAGGAGACCUUUGAGGUGCUUGGGCUUAUUCUGUAACGUUGAGUAACCUUGAGCUACUGCCUCACUCCGUUCCUCACUUUUCUUCUUCUUAAGGUUUCUAACUGGAUUUUGCCAGUGUAUUUAUUUCAAAACUGGUCAUCUUACUGACCUCGCUCAUAGUCUCUUAUUAGUUUUCCAGUUGAUUCUCUUUAGUUUUCUGGAUAAACAAUAUCAUGUACAAAUAAUGAUGGCAAUUUCUCCUCUUUUCCAAAUGUUGUGUUUCCUUUUGUCUUUUAAUGUACUCUUGCCUUGGCUAAAACUUCCAAAACAAUGUAAAAUAAUUGUGAUAAUAGCAGGCUUUCUCAUCCCACCCUGACUAAAAUAUGAAUGACCCUG
This 1225-nucleotide long non-coding RNA is filed under the name Pongo abelii (Sumatran orangutan). Its description in RNAcentral is "lincRNA". Lineage: Eukaryota; Metazoa; Chordata; Mammalia; Primates; Hominidae. The record is from RNAcentral.